RNAcentral lists this ribosomal RNA (484 nucleotides) under uncultured bacterium. RNAcentral describes it as "partial 16S ribosomal RNA". It matches the Rfam family "Bacterial small subunit ribosomal RNA", at positions 30 to 507 of the family's 1533-position model. The record is from RNAcentral.
AUUGAACGCUAGCGGGAUGCUUUACACAUGCAAGUCGAACGGCAGCGCGGACUUCGGUCUGGCGGCGAGUGGCGAACGGGUGAGUAAUGUAUCGGAACGUGCCCAGUAGCGGGGGAUAACUACGCGAAAGCGUAGCUAAUACCGCAUACGCCCUACGGGGGAAAGCAGGGGAUCGUAAGACCUUGCACUAUUGGAGCGGCCGAUAUCGGAUUAGCUAGUUGGUGAGGUAACGGCUCACCAAGGCGACGAUCCGUAGCUGGUUUGAGAGGACGACCAGCCACACUGGGACUGAGACACGGCCCAGACUCCUACGGGAGGCAGCAGUGGGGAAUUUUGGACAAUGGGGGCAACCCUGAUCCAGCCAUCCCGCGUGUGCGAUGAAGGCCUUCGGGUUGCAAAGCACUUUUGGCAGGAAAGAAACGUCGCGGGCUAAUACCCCGUGGAACUGACGGUACCUGCAGAAUAAGCACCGGCUAACUACGUG